Molecule: ribosomal RNA, 901 nt
Filed under: Ostorhinchus margaritophorus (red-striped cardinalfish)
Lineage: Eukaryota; Metazoa; Chordata; Actinopteri; Kurtiformes; Apogonidae
Description: partial 16S ribosomal RNA
Rfam family: Bacterial large subunit ribosomal RNA (bases 192-901)
Source: RNAcentral
AGCCCAUCAGCUAGCUCACACCCAAAACACAACAACUCAUUUUAAAUAACCCCUAAUAGACCUUAUACAUUAUUGAACCAAAUCAUUCUCCCUCCCAAGUACGGGCGACAAAAAAGGACAGAGGAAGCGACAGCGACAGUACCGCAAGGGAACGCUGAAAGAGAACUGAAACAAAUCAGUAAAGCACUAAAAAGCAGAGUUUAACCCUCGUACCUUUUGCAUCAUGGUUUAGCAAGAAAACAUCAAGCAAAAAGCAUUUUAGUUUGACACCCCGAAACCAAGUGAGCUACUCCAAGACAGUCUUCUGGACGCACCCGUCUCUGUGGCAAAAGAGUGGGAUGAGCUUUGAGUAGAGGUGACAGACCUAUCGAACUUGGUUAUAGCUGGUUGCCCGGGAAUUGAAUAGGAGUUCAGCCUCUUGCCUUCUCCUCCCACAUAAGUUAACACACCCAAAGAGAUCGAAGAAGACAAGAGAGUUAGUCAAAGGGGGAACAGCCCCUUUGAAUUAAGAUACAACUUUCCAAGAUGGGUUAAGAUCAUAUCCCCAGCAAGGAUGCGUGUUCUAGUUGGCCUAAAAGCAGCCACCCACACAGAAAGCGUUAAAGCUCAUACACCCUUCCCGCCCCUAUUAUUUUGAUUACUAAAUCUUAUCCCCCUACAAAUACCGCGCCUCUCCAUACCCCUAUGGAAGAGACCAUGCUAAUAUGAGUAAUAAGAGACCUCGAAUCUCUCCUCGCACAAGUGUACAUCGGAACGAACCACCACCGAAAAUUAACGGCCCCAGAAGAGGGUAUUGGAAAAACUUUGGCCCCGCCACAAGAGAACCGUCCACACCUCAACCGUUAACCUUACACCAGCGUGCCCACAAGGAAAGACUAAAAGAAAAAGAAGGAACUCGGCA